GUGGGAUUUAUUUGGCAAAGAAAAGUCAAGAGAAAAGGUGGUAGCUAUUCUAGCAAGUCUUCUGUGGAGGAGUAGCACUAGGCUAGUAACUUAUUACACUAGUCUCGAUUCCUCAAGGUUGUACGAGCUGUAAUAGUAGUAGAAAAACCUCCCGUCCCGAGUUGGCUUAAGCCAUGCCUUUACUAAAGAAUUCUCGCCAUCUCAGAUAAAAUCUGG
RNAcentral lists this long non-coding RNA (216 nucleotides) under Nicotiana benthamiana. Its description in RNAcentral is "long non-coding RNA (NBEN_LNC038207)". Lineage: Eukaryota; Viridiplantae; Streptophyta; Magnoliopsida; Solanales; Solanaceae. The record is from RNAcentral.